Molecule: non-coding RNA, 181 nt
Filed under: Desulfitobacterium hafniense
Lineage: Bacteria; Bacillati; Bacillota; Clostridia; Eubacteriales; Desulfitobacteriaceae
Also listed under: 1 other name
Source: RNAcentral
AAUAAGAAACUAUUGACAGGUUUACGUAAGUAAUGAAAAGGGAAUCAGGUGCAAAUCCUGAGCAACCCCCGUUACUGUAAGCGCCGUUAAAGAUUUAUUUAUCUUCAUGCCACUGGCGAAGACUGGGAAGGCGAUAAAUAAAGGCGCGAGCCAGGAGACCUGCCUGUUAAUAAAACUACAA